CGCUAUCCUCCUCAGGCCGAGGAGGAUGCAGCCUGCCUCACUCACCGCCCCCACCCAUCAGGGCCCAUUGCCGUGCCCCGCGGGCCGCAGCCCGCUCUCACACCUAUCUGCGUGCGCUUCUAUCUGGCAGAGAGCAGCACCUCGCGGCCGGCCGCGGGGCCUCCACGUGGCCGCAGGCAGUCGGCUCCGGGGGACGGGGCGCUCCCAGCCCGCGUUUACACUCGGAAGGAAGGCGAGGAAAGCGGUAUCGAGCCGCGGCACCGAGGCGUGAGCGCCGCACCGCUUCCCGGGGCAGCGGGCCCGGCCAGCCGCUGCGGGGCCCGACGGCGCCCCCCGCCCCCUGCAACGGCCUGCAGCCGCCGCGUUCCGCGCCCCCGCUGCGGGCGGGCGGCUUUACCUGCCGCGUGGCCGCCCCACGAGGAUGUGGAGAGCGGGCUCGGGGCGGGCUCUUGCCGGCCGCCUCAGGGCACGGCGGCCCCCGCCGCCCCCAGCCCCUCGCCCACCCGGCGGGUCCAGCACCGCCACGUCACGAGGCGGCCGCGCCGCCGUGCCCCCCGCCCGCCGCUCCGCAUCGCGGGGAAGGAGGUGUCCGCUAGUGCCCGCCGGCUCCUACUCCUCGUCCGCAACCCCGGGCCCCCCCGCCACCGCCGGCCCGAGCCGGCCGCCACCCGCACCGCCGCGCCGGCCGCUUGUGGGGGAGGGAAUGUAAACAAAUGGGGUUUUAUAGCUACCUCACUCGAGUGCCGUGUGCAUCUCCCUCUCCGCUCGGUACCAAACCGCCGCGGCGCCUCCUCCUCCUCCUCCUGCAGCUCCUGCCGCCGCCGCCGCUACGCUAUUCGCCAACCGCCGCUACGCCAACCCCCAGUGCGCUCGCCACACUCUCCCCUACGCACCGUGCGGAUCGCGUCCCCGCAGCCUGCCCGGCCCAAUGCGGAGCCAUUUCCUCCCCUUCCCCCGCGCCUCUCUCCCCCCUCCCUGCUCCGCCACCAGCUACGAAAAUGGCGUAGCGCUCCCCCCUCCCCUCCCUGCGGCGCCUUGCGCUCAUCACUCAAGCGAGCGGGGCCGGGCGGCGGCGCAGAGAGGAGCGCAGCUCUGGAGUCGGAGCCUCCCGGAGGCCGCGCUCUGUGCCGCGGCCGUGCCGCUCGCACCGAGAGGAGCUUGCCGGGCGAUACCGGCUAUCACGGAGCGACGGGUGGAUCGUCCGGACGAGCCCCGGCUGGCAGCCUUGUGCCUCCCCCCGGGCGGCGGCUAAGCGAAGCGGGGCCCGGGCGUGCCCCCGGCCGGCAGCCUCGUGCCCGGCUGCAGGCGGCCUGGGCGCUGCCGUGGCGGCGGGGCCAGCGGCUGGGCCUGCAUCGGGGCUGGGCCUUCCUUCAGCAGCCUCUGAGUGAAGUGCCGGCGGCGCCGGGAAACCGUGGUGUUCGGGGGGCACGGCUUGUCUGUCACCCCGGGACCGUUCCAGGAAAGAUACGUACUGGCCUGACUGACUGA
Molecule: long non-coding RNA, 1488 nt
Filed under: Numida meleagris (helmeted guineafowl)
Lineage: Eukaryota; Metazoa; Chordata; Aves; Galliformes; Numididae
Description: lncRNA (ENSNMEG00000018618.1)
Source: RNAcentral